This 215-nucleotide long non-coding RNA is filed under the name Mytilus galloprovincialis (Mediterranean mussel). The record is from RNAcentral. Lineage: Eukaryota; Metazoa; Mollusca; Bivalvia; Mytilida; Mytilidae.
GGCCAGUAUGGACUCAACAUUCAAGCUUGAUACAGCUCGGAAUUUGGAUUGUGAUUAAGUAGUGGACACAGCAUAGGUUUCUGACACAGAAUGAAUGUGGUCUAAUGAACUUAAAAAAAAUUCAAAUUUACCUAUUAUGGUCCAAUAUCCAAAAUCUAAAUACAUGGCCAUGGAUUGAUUCAGCAUAUCAAACAAUCCCAAGAAUCCAAUAUUUG